This is a small nucleolar RNA of Lontra canadensis (Northern American river otter), 214 nucleotides long. RefSeq annotates it as small nucleolar RNA U3. The record is from RefSeq and is a predicted model, not a curated record. The transcript has a single exon. NCBI's taxonomy places the organism in Eukaryota, Metazoa, Chordata, Mammalia, Carnivora, Mustelidae.
AAGACCAUAGUUUCAAGGAUCAUUCCUACAGUUUGUUACUAGAGAAAUUCUCUGAAUAUGUGGUGCACUGGAAAUUACCAGGAGGAGGCAUGGCACUCUCUCCUGAGCACGAAGCUGGUUCUUGUUGCUUCUGCAAAUGACAUUCACCCUUGAUAUUGGUUGGUUCUUCUCUUCCUUUGAAAGAAUAAGAGGGAGAAGAUGCAGACUAAGUGAG